RNAcentral lists this ribosomal RNA (292 nucleotides) under uncultured bacterium. RNAcentral describes it as "partial 16S ribosomal RNA". It matches the Rfam family "Bacterial small subunit ribosomal RNA", at positions 505 to 796 of the family's 1533-position model. The record is from RNAcentral.
GUGUCAGCAGCCGCGGUAAUACGUAGGGUCCAAGCGUUAUCCGGAAUCACUGGGCGUAAAGCGUGCGUAGGCGGUCUGUUAAGUGAGAUGUUAAAGCGUGUGGCUCAACCAUAUCGUUGUGUUUCAUACUGGCAGACUAGAGGGAAGCAGAGGCAAGUGGAAUUGGCAGUGUAGCAGUGAAAUGCGUAGAGAUUGCCAGGAACACCAAUGGCGAAGGCAGCUUGCUGGGCUUCUUCUGACGCUGAGGUACGAAAGCGUGGGGAGCGAACAGGAUUAGAUACCCCUGUAGUCC